CCCUUAGAUGUUCUGGGCCGCACGCGCGCUACACUGAUGCAUUCAACGAGUUUCUUCCUGGUCCGAGAGGAAUGGGUAACCUUUUGAAAGUGCAUCGUGAUAGGGAUAGACUAUUGCAAUUAUUGGUCUUCAACGAGGAAUUCCUAGUAGACGUAGUUCAUCAGACUGCAUCGAUUACGUCCCUGCCCUUUGUACACACCGCCCGUCGCUCCUACCGAUUGAAUGCUCAGGUGAGCCAUUCGGACCUUCCUCAUGCCGGUUUCCGGUUUUGAUGAGGGAAAGUCUUGCGAACCUUAUCAUUUAGAGGAAGGAGAAGUCGUAACA
This 324-nucleotide ribosomal RNA is filed under the name uncultured eukaryote. Its description in RNAcentral is "partial 18S ribosomal RNA". It matches the Rfam family "Eukaryotic small subunit ribosomal RNA", at positions 1470 to 1796 of the family's 1831-position model. The record is from RNAcentral.